Molecule: ribosomal RNA, 274 nt
Filed under: uncultured bacterium
Lineage: Bacteria
Description: partial 16S ribosomal RNA
Rfam family: Bacterial small subunit ribosomal RNA
Source: RNAcentral
UAAGUUUGAUGGCGACCGGCGCACGGGUGAGUAACACGUAUCCAACCUGCCGAUGACUCGGGGAUAGCCUUUCGAAAGAAAGAUUAAUACCCGAUGGCAUAGUUCUUCCGCAUGGUGGAACUAUUAAAGAAUUUCGGUCAUCGAUGGGGAUGCGUUCCAUUAGGUUGUUGGCGGGGUAACGGCCCACCAAGCCUUCGAUGGAUAGGGGUUCUGAGAGGAAGGUCCCCCACAUUGGAACUGAGACACGGUCCAGACUCCUACGGGAGGCAGCAUG